This 24-nucleotide non-coding RNA is filed under the name Cricetulus griseus (Chinese hamster). Lineage: Eukaryota; Metazoa; Chordata; Mammalia; Rodentia; Cricetidae. The record is from RNAcentral.
CAUUCACGGUACUGAGGACGAGGU